UCAUCAGAUGCCAUAACACUCUACUGCAAUAACAAAGGCACCAUAGCACUAGCUAAGGAGCCAAAGGUCUCAUCAGAAACUGUUGCCCAAGGUGACAAGCCAAGAGGGGGGGGGUGAAUUGGUUUCUCUUGAUUUUUACUAUCUUAUUUAUGUCAAUUGAUGAGUUAGUGGAAUUUAACAAAGCACAAUACAAACACACAAGAAGUAUAGUGGUUCGGUGCUCUCCUAAG
Molecule: long non-coding RNA, 230 nt
Filed under: Phoenix dactylifera (date palm)
Lineage: Eukaryota; Viridiplantae; Streptophyta; Magnoliopsida; Arecales; Arecaceae
Description: long non-coding RNA (PDAC_LNC015695)
Source: RNAcentral